GACAGAGGGGGCAAGCGUUGCUCGGAAUUACUGGGCGUAAAGGGCGCGUAGGCGGCCUGUUAAGUCGAACGUGAAAUCCCCGGGCUCAACCCGGGAACUGCGUCCGAUACUGGCAGGCUUGAAUUCGGGAGAGGGAUGCGGAAUUCCAGGUGUAGCGGUGAAAUGCGUAGAUAUCUGGAGGAACACCGGUGGCGAAGGCGGCAUCCUGGACCGAGAUUGACGCUGAGGCGCGAAAGCC
RNAcentral lists this ribosomal RNA (238 nucleotides) under uncultured bacterium. RNAcentral's name for it is "partial 16S ribosomal RNA". It matches the Rfam family "Bacterial small subunit ribosomal RNA", at positions 524 to 761 of the family's 1533-position model. The record is from RNAcentral.